Molecule: small nucleolar RNA, 125 nt
Filed under: Dasypus novemcinctus (nine-banded armadillo)
Lineage: Eukaryota; Metazoa; Chordata; Mammalia; Cingulata; Dasypodidae
Description: Small nucleolar RNA SNORA25 (ENSDNOG00000029708.1)
Source: RNAcentral
AGUGCUACAAAGAUGACUUGUGGGACUGAAACCAGGAGCUCUUGACACUAUGACCAAAAAUUGAUGUUCUCCAUAGGAUGACACAGACAAUAGUAUUUUGUUUUCUUCCUGAGGGCAAUACAAGG